AGGUAAGCUACUAAGAGCGAAUGGUGGAUGCCUUGACUGGUAAAGGCGAUGAAGGACGUACUAGACUGCGAUAAGCUACGGGGAGCUGUCAAGAAGCUUUGAUCCGUAGAUUUCCGAAUGGGGCAACCCAAUGUAUAGAGAUAUACAUUACCUAUAUAGGAGCGAACGAGGGGAAUUGAAACAUCUUAGUACCCUCAGGAAAAGAAAUCAAUAGAGAUUGCGUCAGUAGCGGCGAGCGAAAGCGCAAGAGGGCAAACCCAGUGCUUGCACUGGGGGUUGUAGGACUGCAAUGUGCAAGAGCUGAGUUUAGCAGAACAUUCUGGAAAGUAUAGCCAUAGAGGGUGAUAGUCCCGUAUGCGAAAAACAAAGCUUAGCUAGCAGUAUCCUGAGUAGGGCGGGACACGAGGAAUCCUGUCUGAAUCCGGGUCGACCACGAUCCAACCCUAAAUACUAAUACCAGAUCGAUAGUGCACAAGUACCGUGAGGGAAAGGUGAAAAGAACUGAGGUGAUCAGAGUGAAAUAGAACCUGAAACCAUUUGCUUACAAUCAUUCAGAGCACUAUGUAGCAAUACAGUGUGAUGGACUGCCUUUUGCAUAAUGAGCCUGCGAGUUGUGGUGUCUGGCAAGGUUAAGCAAACGCGAAGCCGUAGCGAAAGCGAGUCUGAAUAGGGCGCUUAGUCAGAUGCUGCAGACCCGAAACGAAGUGAUCUAUCCAUGAGCAAGUUGAAGCUAGUGUAAGAACUAGUGGAGGACUGAACCCAUAGGCGUUGAAAAGCCCCGGGAUGACUUGUGGAUAGGGGUGAAAGGCCAAUCAAACUUCGUGAUAGCUGGUUCUCUCCGAAAUAUAUUUAGGUAUAGCGUUGUGUCGUAAUAUAAGGGGGUAGAGCACUGAAUGGGCUAGGGCAUACACCAAUGUACCAAACCCUAUCAAACUCCGAAUACCUUAUAUGUAAUCACAGCAGUCAGGCGGCGAGUGAUAAAAUCCGUCGUCAAGAGGGAAACAACCCAGACUACCAGCUAAGGUCCCUAAAUCUUACUUAAGUGGAAAACGAUGUGAAGUUACUUAAACAACCAGGAGGUUGGCUUAGAAGCAGCCAUCCUUUAAAGAAAGCGUAAUAGCUCACUGGUCUAGUGAUUUUGCGCGGAAAAUAUAACGGGGCUAAAGUAAGUACCGAAGCUGUAGACUUAGUUUACUAAGUGGUAGGAGAGCGUUCUAUUUGCGUCGAAGGUAUACCGGUAAGGAGUGCUGGAGCGAAUAGAAGUGAGCAUGCAGGCAUGAGUAGCGAUAAUUAAUGUGAGAAUCAUUAACGCCGUAAACCCAAGGUUUCCUACGCGAUGCUCGUCAUCGUAGGGUUAGUCGGGUCCUAAGUCGAGUCCGAAAGGGGUAGACGAUGGCAAAUUGG
Molecule: ribosomal RNA, 1404 nt
Filed under: Campylobacter jejuni
Lineage: Bacteria; Pseudomonadati; Campylobacterota; Epsilonproteobacteria; Campylobacterales; Campylobacteraceae
Description: partial 23S ribosomal RNA
Rfam family: Bacterial large subunit ribosomal RNA
Source: RNAcentral